CCAGACUCCUACGGGAGGCAGCAGUGGGGAAUAUUGCACAAUGGGGGAAACCCUGAUGCAGCAACGCCGCGUGAGUGAAGAAGUAUUUCGGUAUGUAAAGCUCUAUCAGCAGGGAAGAAAAUGACAGUACCUGACUAAGAAGCCCCGGCUAACUACGUGCCAGCAGCCGCGGUAAUACGUAGGGGGCAAGCGUUAUCCGGAUUUACUGGGUGUAAAGGGAGCGUAGACGGCUGCGCAAGUCAGAAGUGAAAGCCCGGGGCUCAACCGCGGGACUGCUUUUGAAACUGUGUAGCUAGAGUGCAGGAGAGGUAAGUGGAAUUCCUAGUGUAGCGGUGAAAUGCGUAGAUAUUAGGAGGAACACCAGUGGCGAAGGCGACUUUCUGGACUGUACCUGACGCUGAGGCGCGAAAGCGUGGGUAGCGAACGGGAUUAGAUACCCCAGUAAGG
This 447-nucleotide ribosomal RNA is filed under the name uncultured bacterium. Its description in RNAcentral is "bacterial SSU rRNA". It matches the Rfam family "Bacterial small subunit ribosomal RNA", at positions 331 to 793 of the family's 1533-position model. The record is from RNAcentral.